RNAcentral lists this long non-coding RNA (487 nucleotides) under Rattus norvegicus (Norway rat). Its description in RNAcentral is "long non-coding RNA NONRATT003795". The record is from RNAcentral. Lineage: Eukaryota; Metazoa; Chordata; Mammalia; Rodentia; Muridae.
ACUACCAAUAGAACACCAGAGCUUCAGAACCCCGAGAAGUUGUCAGCUAUCUUCCAGGACUUUUUGAACUGCUGUCUUGAGAUAGAUGUGGUGGAGAGAGGUUCAGCUAAAGAGCUACUUCAGCAUCAAUUCCUGAGGAUUGCCCAGCCUCUCCAGCCUGACUCCACUGAUUGCUACAGCAAAAGAGGCAAUGAAGAACAAUCACUGAAACCAUGCUCACCCCAGCCUCAAGUGCCAAGCCUUCUAUGAAAUGAACACUCAUUUCGGGAACUCUGACCCCUCGUGUCCUCUUCUCCUUUCCUUGCUUCUCCCAUUUCCCCAUCUAGUGCUCUCAAGUCUUUGAUCCUUGGGAACUGUCUAGCACUGAAGAGAACUGCAACUGGACGACUAAUCCAGCAAAGGCCAUUUCUAAAUAGGAAUUCCCUUCCAUGGAGGGGACUGAUGAGCAAGGGUUUACCUGAAUAAACCUGUUUCUACAAAACAGAAA